CCUACGGGUGGCAGCAGUGGGGAAUAUUGGGCAAUGGGCGCAAGCCUGACCCAGCAACGCCGCGUGAAGGAAGAAGGCUUUCGGGUUGUAAACUUCUUUUCUGAGGGACGAAGAAAGUGACGGUACCUCAGGUAUAAGCCACGGCUAACUACGUGCCAGCAGCCGCGGCAAUACGUAGGUGGCAAGCGUUAUCCGGAUUUAUUGGGUGUAAAGGGCGUGUAGGCGGGAAAGCAAGUCAGAUGUGAAAACUCAGGGCUCAACCCUGAGCCUGCAUUUGAAACUGUUUUUCUUGAGUGCUGGUGAGGCAGUCGGAAUUCGGUGUGUAGCGGUGAAAUGCGUAGAUAUACGGAAGAACACCAGUGGCGAAGGCAGAUUGCUAGACAGUAACUGACGCUGAGGCGCGAAAGCGUGGGGAGCAAACAGGAUUAGAUACCCUAGUAGUC
Molecule: ribosomal RNA, 443 nt
Filed under: uncultured bacterium
Lineage: Bacteria
Description: partial 16S ribosomal RNA
Rfam family: Bacterial small subunit ribosomal RNA
Source: RNAcentral